This 439-nucleotide ribosomal RNA is filed under the name uncultured bacterium. RNAcentral's name for it is "partial 16S ribosomal RNA". It matches the Rfam family "Bacterial small subunit ribosomal RNA", at positions 339 to 795 of the family's 1533-position model. The record is from RNAcentral.
CUACGGGUUGCACCAGUGAGGAAUAUUGCACAAUGGGGGGAACCCUGAUGCAGCAACGCCGCGUGGAGGACGACGCAUUUCGGUGUGUAAACUCCUUUUAUUUGUCAAGAAAAUGACGGUAGCAUAUGAAUAAGCACCGGCUAACUCCGUGCCAGCAGCCGCGGUAAUACGGAGGGUGCAAGCGUUACUCGGAAUCACUGGGCGUAAAGGACGCGUAGGCGGGUUGGAAAGUCAGGUGUGAAAUCCUACAGCUUAACUGUAGAACUGCACUUGAAACUUCUAAUCUAGAGUAUGGGAGGGGGAGAUGGAAUUAGUGGUGUAGGGGUAAAAUCCGUAGAUAUCACUAGGAAUACCUAAAGCGAAGGCGAUCUCCCGGAACAUUACUGACGCUAAGGCGUGAAAGCGUGGGGAGCAAACAGGAUUAGAUACCCGCGUAGUC